Molecule: ribosomal RNA, 253 nt
Filed under: uncultured bacterium
Lineage: Bacteria
Description: partial 16S ribosomal RNA
Rfam family: Bacterial small subunit ribosomal RNA
Source: RNAcentral
GACAUAGGUGGCGAACGUUAUCCGGAUUUAUUGGGCGUAAAGAGCGUGUAGGCGGCCAGGUAGGUCCGUUGUGAAAACUCGAGGCUCAACCUCGAGACGCCGAUGGAAACCAUCUGGCUAGAGUCCGGAAGAGGAGAGUGGAAUUCCCGGUGUAGCGGUGAAAUGCGCAGAUAUCGGGAAGAACACCCGUGGCUAAGGCGGCUCUCUAGUACGGUACUGACGCUGAGACGCGAAAGCGUGGGGAGCGAACAGG